GUUUUGUUUAAAUGACAUGGAAACUCCCAAUCAGAGCAAGAAUCAAUUAAAAGUCGUUUAUUGUCCAAAAUGACAUGUUUUGACCAAUCACAAGCAACUUUAUUAAAUACAUUUGUGAUAAACUUAAUGACUAUCAAAAUGAGGGGAAAAAUUUCAUUUACACUUGGACUGCCUACUUCGUACAACUGUAAAAAAUAGAGGGCAGGGGUUCAUAACUUUCUAAAGCAUUCUGCAGUCGGAGGAGCAUUCUGCUAACACAGUAAGCCUCGUUUACUGAUAAGCCUCUGGAUGCAACUCUGUAAAGGGGAAAUCCCAACUUGGUAGAUAAUGGAUCUGAUCGUUUUUCUGGUAAACAUUAACAAAGAACUCCUGAAAACAAGUAUUUAUAAAGUCUCUAGUGUUAACUUGGUAAACAUUAAGCCUCUAGUGUUUGAUUAUAACAUCAACAAAGAACUCCUGAAAACAAG
RNAcentral lists this unclassified non-coding RNA (467 nucleotides) under Hevea brasiliensis (rubber tree). The record is from RNAcentral. Lineage: Eukaryota; Viridiplantae; Streptophyta; Magnoliopsida; Malpighiales; Euphorbiaceae.